UGGGGAAUAUUGGACAAUUGGCGCAAGCCUGAUCCAGCCAUGCCGCGUGAGUGAUGAAGGCCCUAGGGUUGUAAAGCUCUUUCACCGGUGAAGAUAAUGACGGUAACCGGAGAAGAAGCCCCGGCUAACUUCGUGCCAGCAGCCGCGGUAAUACGACGGGGGCUAGCGUUGUUCGGAUUUACUGGGCGUAAAGCGCACGUAGGCGGACUUUUAAGUCAGGGGUGAAAUCCCGGGGCUCAACCCCGGAACUGCCUUUGAUACUGGAAGUCUUGAGUAUGGUAGAGGUGAGUGGAAUUCCGAGUGUAGAGGUGAAAUUCGUAGAUAUUCGGAGGAACACCAGUGGCGAAGGCGGCUCACUGGACCAUUACUGACGCUGAGGUGCGAAAGCGUGGGGAGCAAACAGG
Molecule: ribosomal RNA, 404 nt
Filed under: Actinomycetes bacterium
Lineage: Bacteria; Bacillati; Actinomycetota; Actinomycetes
Description: Actinobacteria bacterium partial 16S ribosomal RNA
Rfam family: Bacterial small subunit ribosomal RNA
Source: RNAcentral